GACGAACGCUGGCGGCGUGCUUAACACAUGCAAGUCGAACGGAAAGGCCCUGCUUUUGUGGGGUGCUCGAGUGGCGAACGGGUGAGUAACACGUGAGUAACCUGCCCUUGACUUUGGGAUAACUUCAGGAAACUGGGGCUAAUGCCGGAUAGGAGCUCCUGCUGCAUGGUGGGGGUUGGAAAGUUUCGGCGGUUGGGGAUGGACUCGCGGCUUAUCAGCUUGUUGGUGGGGUAGUGGCUUACCAAGGCUUUGACGGGUAGCCGGCCUGAGAGGGUGACCGGCCACAUUGGGACUGAGAUACGACCCAGACUCCUACGGGAGGCAGCAGUGGGGAAUAUUGCACAAUGGGCGGAAGCCUGAUGCAGCAACGCCGCGUGCGGGAUGACGGCCUUCGGGUUGUAAACCGCUUUCGCCUGUGACGAAGCGUGAGUGACGGUAAUGGGUAAAGAAGCACCGGCUAACUACGUG
This 468-nucleotide ribosomal RNA is filed under the name uncultured bacterium. Its description in RNAcentral is "partial 16S ribosomal RNA". It matches the Rfam family "Bacterial small subunit ribosomal RNA", at positions 28 to 507 of the family's 1533-position model. The record is from RNAcentral.